Molecule: long non-coding RNA, 1972 nt
Filed under: Capsicum annuum
Lineage: Eukaryota; Viridiplantae; Streptophyta; Magnoliopsida; Solanales; Solanaceae
Description: long non-coding RNA (CANN_LNC004451)
Source: RNAcentral
AAAGUAGUCUCUCCCCUACAAAGGCACGGGUAAAGUUUCUGUACAUUUCAUCUUUCAUAAACUAAUAAAAUUACACCGAGUAUAUUUAUUGUUAUUGUCAUCCCUAGAGUAGAGGCGGAGCCAACUUUCUUUAGGGUGUUCGGCCGAACCCCUAACACUCUUGAUGAAAAAAUAUACUAUUUAUCUAUGAUUAAAAUUAUUUUUUAUAUGAUUAUAGUAGAUGUUGAACCCCCUUCGACUAAGUUUUCUUUUAAUAUUGAAACCCUUUAGUUGAAAUCCUAGCUCCCGCCUCAGCCCUAGAAUAGCCACUUUCUCUCGGUGGACUUUUGUCUAUUUUCUUUAACCUUUGGUAAUAUUUAGGAGAAAAAUGGGGUUGAAAAGAUUAUCACUUAAUUGACAUGAGAAAAUGGAAUAAUCGAGAAUCUCGAGUAACUGGCCAAGCCGCCAAAGUCGCUAAGGUAGUGAUAAAUCCUGUUAAUAAAAUGGGUCCUAUAGAAAGUCCAUCUAUUCCUAAUUUUCAAUGGAAAUCAAAAAAAUCGAUCCAUUUAUAAUCCUCCACUAGUUGUAUUAAUGGAUCAUCCGAUUGGAAAUGAUAACAAAAUGCAUAAUACAUAGGCUAAGUCAACGCCUAGGAAGUAAUUCAAAUAGAAUCCAUUUGUCCGGAGGAAAAGCUAUAUUCAGUAAUAUGGAUUUCUCAAGGUAAAAUUGCUAGUCCUAUAUUAAAUUUAGCUUUAGCAUUUGUCUCUUUCUUUCUUAUGAUUAUCACUUAAUUGGGGCUAAGUCAACGCCUAGGAAGUAAUUCAAAUAGAAUCCAUUUGUCCGGAGGAAAAGCCAUAUUUAGUAAUUGGCUGGUGGGAGGUUGCAGGUAUCACAUAAAAUUAAUUGAAAAAUAUAUAAUUUGGUCCGAGCAAUACGAUUAUAAAUAGAAUAAAAAGAGCCAAAAUCAAUAAAAUGGAUGCAUAUUGUUAUGCAUACCGGUUCACACUUAUGCCGGUUUGUUUGACAUUUCCAUCAAUUUUAACCGGUCAAAUACACAAUUGUCCCACAUGCAACCUCACAAAUGCAAGAGGAGCCUCACCUAGUCGCGGUUCAAGAAGCAAAUUAACCCAGAGGUAGAGACAUGAUGGGACUAGGGAGAAAAGGGGAUUUAAGAAAUGCUACAACUGUUAGUCAAACUUAUGAUCUACAAUAAUUUUUUAGCCCUCUGUAUUAAUAUUCUAGAAGUGUUCUUUGUGUUAAUAGAAUCAACAAGCAAUAAAUAUAUACAUAAAGAAUAGUUCCACAGUUUCACUUAUGUACGUGUAAUUUUCUAACGAAUGAGAUGCAAUUAAUCAUCCCAUGGACAAUGUGUCUCCAUUACUGCAUUGCCUCAAGUCAAUAUAAAUCAUAAGGGGUUCCGGUUGCGUCCCAGCCCGGCAGACGCAAGGACAAAUUGCUUCCAUCGCAGAGGACCGGUGUCGUUUCGCGGAACCUCUUUCUAUUUUUAACCGUUUAAACAUUGAGCUUCGAAGAGCUUCAAUUCUACUGCUUUAUAAUUUUUCCUUAUUAUUCUUUUUAAGGGAAACAAAUUAAAAAGCAUGAUUGGAUAAAUAACUAUAUCCCUAAAUAAGAAGUUGAUGAGUGUGGAACAAGGAAAGACGUGCUGCUGAUAAUGCGCCAUAUGGCUAGCUGCUAUACUUUCAACUACUUAAUUAUUGAGUUGACCGAAGAACACAUUUUGUGUAAAAAUACGUUCAAAGGUGUACCUUAUCUCUUUGUUUUCUUUGCAGUAUCUCUUUGUUUUCUUUGCAGUCUGCACUAACUUAUCAAGAGGCCUUACAUAUAAUUUUCAGAACUCACAACGUUUAAAUUUGAAUCUCAUUGUCUCCUGCAGAAACCAAUACACUAUACUGCCUCUCAGAAAUUAUAGUAACCUUACGUUGAACAAAAUGGAUUCCCAGAUCUCGGAUCAUUCUUGCUGUUAGCACAAAAG